UACAGAGGUCUCAAGCGUUGUUCGGAUUCAUUGGGCGUAAAGGGUGCGUAGGCGGCGCGGUAAGUCGGGUGUGAAAUCUCGGGGCUUAACUCCGAAACUGCAUUCGAUACUGCCGUGCUUGAGGACUGGAGAGAAGACUGGAAUUUACGGUGUAGCGGUGAAAUGCGUAGAUAUCGUAAGGAAGACCAGUGGCGAAGGCGGGUCUCUGGACAGUUCCUGACGCUGAGGCACGAAGGUCAGGGGAGCAAACGGG
RNAcentral lists this ribosomal RNA (253 nucleotides) under uncultured bacterium. Its description in RNAcentral is "partial 16S ribosomal RNA". It matches the Rfam family "Bacterial small subunit ribosomal RNA", at positions 524 to 776 of the family's 1533-position model. The record is from RNAcentral.